CCUUUAUUAUAUAGACUUCAAGAUUCUACUUUGCUUUAUCUGAGAGGUGGCUCUCAUUUUCUAGCUCUAUAUAACCUACAUCAACAAUAGAUCAUAGCCCCUGCGAUUGGAGCAUAGUUUUCAUCUUAAUUUUUCAAAAAUCAUAGUUUUCUCUUCCAAAUAUUGGAAGAGAAGAUUGCACGUGGGUGGCAAGGCCAGCAAGAAAUUACAUAGAGAUAGUAGAGCCAACCAUCGAUGUG
This 239-nucleotide long non-coding RNA is filed under the name Elaeis guineensis (African oil palm). RNAcentral's name for it is "long non-coding RNA (EGUI_LNC017775)". Lineage: Eukaryota; Viridiplantae; Streptophyta; Magnoliopsida; Arecales; Arecaceae. The record is from RNAcentral.